Molecule: signal recognition particle RNA, 243 nt
Filed under: Desulfobacteraceae bacterium
Lineage: Bacteria; Pseudomonadati; Thermodesulfobacteriota; Desulfobacteria; Desulfobacterales; Desulfobacteraceae
Description: signal recognition particle sRNA large type
Rfam family: Bacterial large signal recognition particle RNA
About the family: The signal recognition particle (SRP) is a universally conserved ribonucleoprotein involved in the co-translational targeting of proteins to membranes. Archaeal SRP consists of a 7S RNA and homologues of the eukaryotic SRP19 and SRP54 proteins.
Source: RNAcentral
UUGUGCUAGGCGGGGAGCUAGCGGUGCCCUUUUCCCGAAAUCCGCUCAUGCGGGGCUGAAUCCCCUCCUCAGGACCAAAAGCCGAAGGCAGGCUGUCGAGAUCGGCCGCCGCGCAACAAACUGUCUCGAACCUCGUCAGAUCCGGAAGGAAGCAGCGAUAAGGGAACGGGUUUGUGUCGCGGGUCGUCCCCGAUCACUAAAUGGUCUGUGUUUUCGGCAAGAGGUUCGAUGGAGGGUGCACAA